AUUGAACGCUGGCGGCAGGCCUAACACAUGCAAGUCGAGCGGCAGCAGAGUGAUUGCUUCUGGUAUCGGUGGCGGGUGGGGGAGUAAUGACUAGGACACCGCCAGGUAGUGGUGGGUAACGGCUGGCGAAGGGCGACAAUCCCGCAUACGUCAUGCGGGCGACAGUGGAGGACAUUCGGACCUCGCGCCUUCCGAUGAUCAGAGGUCGGAUUAGCUAGUUGGUGGGGUAAAGGCCUACCAAGGCGACGAUCCGUAACUGGUCUGAGAGGAUGAUCAGUCACACUGGAACUGAGACACGGUCCAGACUCCUACGGGAGGCAGCAGUGGGGAAUAUUGGACAAUGGGCGAAAGCCUGAUCCAGCCAUGCCGCGUGUGUGAAGAAGGUCUUCGGAUUGUAAAGCACUUUAGUUGGGAAAGAAGAGCAGUAAGUUAAUACCUUGCUGUUUUGACGUUACCAACAGAAUAAGCACCGGCUAACUUCGUG
Molecule: ribosomal RNA, 484 nt
Filed under: uncultured bacterium
Lineage: Bacteria
Description: partial 16S ribosomal RNA
Rfam family: Bacterial small subunit ribosomal RNA
Source: RNAcentral